RNAcentral lists this long non-coding RNA (288 nucleotides) under Sorghum bicolor (sorghum). RNAcentral's name for it is "long non-coding RNA (SBIC_LNC017902)". Lineage: Eukaryota; Viridiplantae; Streptophyta; Magnoliopsida; Poales; Poaceae. The record is from RNAcentral.
GGGGCUUCUUAGCCUUCACUUGGGUCUUGAGUAAUUGAAAGACACAACAAUCAAGUUAUACACUAUGUCUCAAGCUCUUUGUUUCACCAUUAUUCCAAAGUGUUUAUAAGUUUCUAAAAUAAAACUUAGAGAUUCCAUUGUAUGACACUCUCAAGUCUCUUAAUAUAUGUGGUAUUUGCGGAUCAUCACCUAGGCAAUAGAGAUGUUAUGCCUUUUUCUCUACCUACCACUAAGGCUUAUGUGGAGUUUAUAGGUAGGGAUAAAGCUAGAGCCUACUUGCAAUGCAUA